This 253-nucleotide ribosomal RNA is filed under the name uncultured bacterium. Its description in RNAcentral is "partial 16S ribosomal RNA". It matches the Rfam family "Bacterial small subunit ribosomal RNA", at positions 524 to 776 of the family's 1533-position model. The record is from RNAcentral.
UACAGAGGUCUCAAGCGUUGUUCGGAUUUAUUGGGCGUAAAGGGCGCGUAGGCGGUCACGCACGUCCGUUGUGAAAUCGCUCGGCUCAACUGGGCGGGGUCAGCGGAUACGGCGUGGCUGGAGCAAGCUAGGGGGCAAUGGAAUUCCCGGUGUAGUGGUGGAAUGCGUAGAUAUCGGGAGGAACACCAGUGGCGAAGGCGGUUGCCUGGAGCUUUGCUGACGCUGAUGCGCGAAAGCGUGGGGAGCGAUCCGG